RNAcentral lists this long non-coding RNA (1175 nucleotides) under Coturnix japonica (Japanese quail). RNAcentral describes it as "lncRNA (ENSCJPG00005019663.1)". Lineage: Eukaryota; Metazoa; Chordata; Aves; Galliformes; Phasianidae. The record is from RNAcentral.
GUCCAGGUUACUCUGUUUGUCAUCCUUCCCUCUAACAUGUCAACUGCAAAACGCAGCAUGUAUAUAAGAUGCAGACUUGCUCAGAUGCACUCAAUCCCAAUGUUAUGUUGACUACAGAAAUGUAAAGACCAGAACCAAUCCCUGAGGAAUGCUAUCUGUCAUUGGCUUGCACUUGGACAUUGAGCCAUUGACCACAACACUAUGAGUGUGACCAUUCAUCCAAUUCCUUAUCCAGUGAGUGAUCCAUUCAUCAAAUCCUUUUUUUCUCCAAUUUGGCAGCCAGGAUGUCAUGAAGAACAGUGUUAAAUGCUUUGCACCAUUUAUCAGUUGCUUUUCUUUUCUCCACUGACUCUGUAAGUAUCAGUUAUCAGUUGCUUUUCUUUUCUCCACUGACUCUGUAACUCCAUCAUAAAAGGCCACCAAGUUUGUCAGGCAUGACUUGCCCUUGGUGAAGACAUGUUGGUUACCACCAGUCACCUUAGCUUUGUUUUCCAUGUACUUUAGUAGGAGCUUCAGGACAAUCUAUUUAAUGUUCUUGCCUAGCACAGAGGUGAGACUAACUGACUUUUAGUUCUCUGAAUCUGAAUUCCUGCUUCCACUAACUAUAGACUUUGUUUUUGCACCAAAGCAAGUUCAAGAGCAACUUGUUGAUUCACAGAGGCCUCCUUUGUCUGCCUUCCUCUUUCUCAGGAUGCACUUCUUCUGGGCUUUCAGAACAUGGUCCUUGAAUAUUCUGUAACUAGUUUACCUAUUUUGAAAGACCAGUCUACAACAAAAUGCAUACUUAUCUCUUGCUUAAGUCAUAAUUUACACAAUUAAUAAAUUACUUAAUAAAAAUAAAAUCUUUGCUUGAAUGUGCAAUUAUGCCAUCUUUAAAUCAUUAGAGUAUUGUCAUAUUACAGCCUUUAGUUUUUCUUUGAGAUAACUGAGUUACUCUCACCCAGGGAAAGCCAUCCUGUGAAAAUGCAUUCCUAAGGACUACAGCCAACAAAGGAUGCAAAUCUAUCUACAGAGGUUUGGUGACCAAUAUCUACCUACUGUCUAAGAAAAAAAUAAAUACAGGAGGUAGUGCCAGAGAGAUUUUGAAAAACAUCUCCCUUCUCUGGAAAGUCUUUACUGGUCUGAGUUACAAUGAAGACAAACAUAUUCUGCAUCUGACUCAAUCAGGCUUUUGA